Molecule: long non-coding RNA, 1326 nt
Organism: Tympanuchus pallidicinctus (lesser prairie-chicken)
Lineage: Eukaryota; Metazoa; Chordata; Aves; Galliformes; Phasianidae
Exons: 3
Source: RefSeq, a predicted model, not a curated record
GCAUUCUUUAAUCAGUAUUUGGUUUCUUGAAUUUCUUUUAUUGGUAGUUAACUGUGUAAUGGUCUCAGUGGAACAUCUGGUCCAUGAUUUCAGAGGAAUAUUCUUCAACCCUCGCUGAAAGCAAUUAUUUUUGGAUACGAGUGGAGGCUUUGGAGCCAUUAAGAAGAUAAAAUGCAGAUUGUUUGCAGAGGAUUUUUUAUAACUGUAAUGGCUCUCAAAAAGAGGAUCGCUGGUUACUUUUUCCUCUAUGCUAUCAGGCAGACAGCAGAGACUGAGCAAAGUGGUAAGGGACUGAACCUAAGGCAGUGGGCUGUGACCCAUGCCAAGCAAUAGCUCAUCUACCCAUCUCCAUAAGCCACUGAGGUCUGGGACUUCUUACAGAAGGAUUUAAAAGCACAUCAGCAGAUGGGACAACUGUUGUUUUCAAAGCAGAAAAUGAAGGGCUUUACUUUUUCCACCACUGAUGGGUGAAUCACAAACCUCCCAACUCCCAGCCUCAUCCCAGUUCAUGCAGAGCACAGAAUAAAGCUUUCAGCCUCUGCUCUUUGCACAUGGCAGGCUGUGGUGACAGCUGGGAAACCUUCAUUCCAAAGCAAAUGUGUUUUCCAAAGAAAAGCAUUAAUCUAUCAGGAGGAAAUCAGUUGUCUUGUGAGUUAGGUGUGGUUUUUGCACUGUGUCCUCCAUGGAGGUUGCUGGCUGAUUCCUCUUUGUCUGCAAAAACAGUGCUUUAAAUUAUUUAGAGGAAACUAUACAAUCUUGGCUGCUGCGCGCUAUUACGAUUGCACAUCUUGUCCCAGUGAAAACCACGUGCAGACAGGCUGUAAAGUCAUGGCUGUUUUGUAGUAGGGAGACAAACUGAAGCUGUUAAACCAGCAGAGACGUUAGGUCAUGGCCUGAAGCGGUGAUGGAGCACCUGGUGGGAAGACAGGGCCAACCCAGGGGAGCUCAGGUGCGUGCAAUGAACCUGAAUGACCAGAAGGGCAGCAGCCAGGAUCCACUCCUUCUCAGCCCUCAUUUAAGGGUUAGCAGUGGAGGUGAGGGCACCUUAUCUGGAGGUCCUUGAGUACCUGAGGCCUUUCAAAGCAGUAUACGCUGGCUGCAAAGCUGGCCAUACAGAGGAAAGCCUCAAGAUGCCAUACUCAGACGGCCCCAUGGCAAUACAGUUGUGACUCUUCUGCUUAUAUAGGAUUUGCUGCAUCUCAAUGAAUUUACCUUGUAGUCCUGCAGAGAGCCCAUUGCAAAGUGAGGAGGGAAACCUGGGAACAGCAGCAGCAUGUAGAUAAGGUAGAAAGAGACAAAGGAAUCCCAGUAUUGUGAAUUAUCUGU